AUAGUACCCCAUUCCUUGCUGCAAUGUAAUUACAAGUGUGCUCCUGGUGGUCUUUAACUGAAGGGCACUGACUGGGUACUGGUGAAGUUCCCCGCAGGAACUGAGUCAGACCCCAUCUCAGGGCCCUGCAGAAGAUAGGUGCCUGCUCUAAGGCGUGGACCCUCGCGACAGCCCUGGCCCGUCUUGACGGGCGAGGGUUACUGUACUUGUCCCAAUCGUACAGAUGAGAAAGCUCAGACUCAGGGCCAGCAACCCCGGUCCCAGCGGAGCGCCCGGCACGCGCCGACACUUCAGCACCAGUCGCGGUGGCCACCACUGUGCGCGGAGAUGGCUGCGACGCGUGCGCAGAUCUCGAUCCCAAACUCCCUCCUGCCAGAAUCUGGACCCGAAUCCACCCAUUGCCCAUUUUCCGCUGCCGCUGGAGAGAAUCUCUGAGGUCCCCAGGACAGCCUGCCUGCACGGAAGAGAUGCCUCCUCAAUUAAAUGCUGUUUUCCAUGACCGUCUCUGUUCUUCCCAUACGCGAAUGGCAGGCAUCCAGAUCUCCAAGAAUAGAGGAUUAGGAGAGACUCCACCACCUAUGUCCUCACAGUUAAUUAUCGAUUUGUGUCACUUGCCCAUUUUCUCACUUCCUGUUUGUGUGUCAAGGAGUAUUAAUAAAUCUUUGCCUAUUUAAAGAUACUAGCCUUGGAUUUUCAAAUAUUGCAUAUUUUGACAUGUAAAAAUGUGUUAGUUUUAUUUUUUCAACCGAUCUGACCUGUAUAGUUGGGCUUGAGGAAGCUUCCUCAUUGUACAUGUUACUAUGGAUUUUCUAAUAUUAACACAGGGUUGUAUUUUUUCCAUAUAACUUUCUAUUGAAUUUCUUUUUCCAUAUGAUAGGUGGUGAAGGUUUAGCCCAGUAAAGCAGAGAGGUUAAGAGGUUAGACUGGGGGCUCUGGAGCCAGACCUAUGUAGAUCUGAGUCCUGGCUCUGGCACUUGAAAGCCGUGUGACCUUGGUUAAGAUACUUAGCCCCUCUCUGCCAAAUGGAGAAAUAAGGGCACCUACCCCGUAGGGUAGUUGUGUGAGUACACAAGUUAAUACACUUCAAUCACUAGCAAGAAAGUGAAUGUCAAGCUGUAUUUGUUCAGGCAGCCAUAUGGUAGCCCCACCUCAUUAGUAAACUGAGGUAUUGAAGUAUCUUCUUUUUCUUUCAGAAAAUAUUUGUCAAGCACCUUCUGUGUUCUAAGAACUGUUCUAGAGCUUUGCAUGCUAUGGAGGUCUAGAAAUUCACAUUAUGGUGGCAGGUGACAGACAAUACAAAGAGGUAAAGCAAUUUCAUAUAGUGAUAACCUAGGGAGGCGUGCUAAAAGGAGCCAAGGUGUAGUGGUGACUGGAAGGUGACCAGGGAAACCACUGUAGGGUUUCUAACUGAUGAGAUCUGUGACAAAUCCCUGUGGUCAGCAGCAGGCAUUGGAUAUGUAACUUUAUUCUGUCCCAUUGAUCUUGUAGUCAACCCUGGUCUGUUCUGUAUUGUUUUAAUUACAUAAUCUUUGUAAUAAUCUUUAAUACCUGGUGGAGUGCUCUGUUUACUUAUUUCUGCAUAAUUAACCACCCCUAAGCUUAACUUACUCAUGGUUCUGCAGGAUGACUGCUCUCCAUGGUUCUAGGGGUUUCUGCAUGGGGCCUCUCACAUGUGCUACAGUCAAACAUUAGCCGGGGCCACAGUCAUCUGAAACUCACUUACACGGCUGACAAUUGAUGUUGGCUGUUGCCUGGAGAAGACAUAUGUGGCCUGGUGGAAUGGAAUGGUGACUAGAUUCAAGAAAGAGCUUCCCAGGAGCAAGGCUACCAAGAGACCGAAGUAGAGGCUUCAGUUUCUUUAAAAAAAAAAAAAAAAAUCGGGCCAGGUGCGAUGGCUCACGCAUGUAAUCCCAGCACUUUGGGAGGCCAAGGCAGGCAGAUCACAAGGUCAUGAGAUCGAGACCAUCCUGGCCAACAUAGUGAAACCCGUCUCCAAUAAAAAAAAAAAAUACAAAAAUUAGCUGGGCAUGGUGGUGUGUGACGGUAGUCCCAACUACUUGGGAGGCUGAGACAGGAGAAUUUCUAGAACCUGGGAGGCGGGGGUUGCAGUGAGCUGAGAUUGCACCACUGCACUCAAGACUGGCAAUAGAGGGAGACUCCAUCUCAAAAAAAAAAAAAAAUCCAAUAGUAGAAUUCCCAGAAUGGAAUUUAUGUCAUAUUCUAUGGAUUGAGCAAGUUGCAAGGCAGCCACAUUCUAGGGGAAGGGAGCUAUUCCUCACCUCUUGAGAAGCAAUGUGUGUUGAGGAAGGGAAAGAAUUGAUGGUAGCUGUCUUUGACUUCUACCAUACAGAGCAAGGUCUCCACACUCCUUUCUCCUGUAAUAAUUUUCCAUUUGAAAAUUUUCCUUGCAGUUCUCACACCUUUAUUAUUUCAUAUAAAUUUUACAAUCAAUUUUUUUCUUGUCUAGAUAACCAUGCCAUUUGGAUUAAAAUUGCAUUACAUUGCAACUUUUGAGAAACUAUGGGAGGAGAAUUGGCAACCUUAUAAUAUUGAAUUUGCUCAUUAAGGAACAUAGUUUCUCUGUUUAUUUAGGUGUUAUAUUUUUCAUAAUAUACAUGUUGGUAUUUCUACCCAGGCUUUUCUCUUUGUUUUGUCAUGUAAUGCAUGAAUGAGACUGCACUGUCUGUGUGAUUGGGCAGUUGCCCAAAGUUUAAGGUGUUAACAUGCAUUAAUUCACUUAAUCACUUCUCAUUUCCUCCUUCCCUCAACCCCUGACAACCAUGAAUCUGCUUUCUGUCUCUAGAUUUGCCUAUUCUGGACAUUUUAUAUAAAUGUGUCAUCCAAUAUCUGGUCUUUUCUGACUGGCUUCUUUCACUUAGCAGGAUUCUACGGUUUAUUGAGGUUCAUUCAUUGUGUAGGCUGUAUCAGUACUUCAUUCCUGUUUACGGCUGAAUAAUGUUCCACUGUAUGUACAUAUGUAUGUAUACCACACUUUGUAUAUCCAUUUAUUUACUGGAGGAUAUCUGGGUUAUUUACAGUAUAUUUCAGGAGUCCCCAAGAUCAUCCUCCCCCUUGGUAUACUGCUCUUUGUAUCUUAUAUGACCUGUGCAGAACUAUUUAUCUGGAAAUUAGGUGAUGGUUAACUAAAUAUAGUUCUUCUAAAGAUUCAUUUUCCGUUGGUAUUACAUCCUGAGGAGACCUUAACUCAAUCUCCCAAUACAUUUGAUCAUCAAUAUCACUAUUACCACAUGACUUAUUUACAUGAGGUACUCAAAUCUAACCAGCCAUGCCAGUGUUACCCAUAUUGCAUGUUGUGGUAGUAGAUGCAGCCCCCUGAAAUAAAAGUCAAAAGAUGCUGGCACAUUCCUGAGGUUCUUCUCAGCCACUAACAAUUGGUGUAGUUCAUCAUCACCUGGAAUGACCAAAAUGUCUCCC
This 3435-nucleotide long non-coding RNA is filed under the name Homo sapiens (human). RNAcentral describes it as "HSALNT0149382". Lineage: Eukaryota; Metazoa; Chordata; Mammalia; Primates; Hominidae. The record is from RNAcentral.